UACAGAGAGUGCAAGCGUUAAUCGGAAUUACUGGGCGUAAAGCGCACGUAGGUGGAUGCUUAAGUCGGAUGUGAAAUCCCCGAGCUUAACUUGGGAAUUGCAUUCGAUACUGGGCGUCUAGAAUAUAGUAGAGGGAAGUGGAAUUUCUGGUGUAGCGGUGAAAUGCGUAGAUAUCAGAAGGAACAUCAGUGGCGAAAGCGGCUUCCUGGACUAAUAUUGACACUUAGGUGCGAAAGCGUGGGGAGCAAACAGG
RNAcentral lists this ribosomal RNA (253 nucleotides) under uncultured bacterium. RNAcentral's name for it is "partial 16S ribosomal RNA". It matches the Rfam family "Bacterial small subunit ribosomal RNA", at positions 524 to 776 of the family's 1533-position model. The record is from RNAcentral.